This 23-nucleotide small nuclear RNA is filed under the name Arabidopsis thaliana (thale cress). RNAcentral's name for it is "snRNA_10161". Lineage: Eukaryota; Viridiplantae; Streptophyta; Magnoliopsida; Brassicales; Brassicaceae. The record is from RNAcentral.
CUUCUGGGAGAUGUAGGAUCUUU